GAAACCAACAGGGAUUGCCCUAGUAACGGCGAGUGAAGCGGCAACAGCUCAAAUUUGAAAUCUGGCCUUCACGGGUCCGAGUUGUAAUUUGGAGAGGAUGUUUCGGGCACCGCCCCGGUUUAAAUUUCUUGGAACAGAAUGUCAAAGAGGGUGAGAAUCCCGUCUUGAGCCGGUGGUAGGGUCCAUGUGAAACUCCUUCGACGAGUCGAGUUGUUUGGGAAUGCAGCUCAAAAUGGGUGGUAAAUUUCAUCCAAAGCUAAAUAUUGGCCAGAGACCGAUAGCGCACAAGUAGAGUGAUCGAAAGAUGAAAAGCACUUUGAAAAGAGAGUUAAACAGUAUGUGAAAUUGUUGAAAGGGAAGCGCUUGCAAUCAGACUCGAGCGCGGCGGUUCCCCCUGGCUUCUGCCUGGGUUACUCCGUCGUGUCCGGGCCAACAUCGGUUUCGGUGGCCGGUCAAAGGCUUCGGGAAUGUAUCUUCCCUCCGGGGAAGACUUAUAGCCCGAGGUGUCAUGCGGCCCACCGGGACCGAGGAACGCGCUUCGGCGAGGAUGUUGGCGUAAUGGUUGCAAGCGACCCGUCUUGAAACACGGACCAAGGAGUCUAACAUCUAUGCGAGUGUUAGGGUGUCAAACCCUCACGCGUAAUGAAAGUGAACGGAGGUAGGAAGCCUUUACCGGCUGCACUAUCGACCGAUCCUGAUGUCUUCGGAUGGAUUUGAGUAAGAGCAUAGCUGUUGGGACCCGAAAGAUGGUGAACUAUGCGUGAAUAGGGUGAAGCCAGAGGAAACUCUGGUGGAGGCUCGCAGCGGUUCUGACGUGCAAAUCGAUCGUCAAAUUUGCGUAUAGGGGCGAAAGACUAAUCGAACCA
This 866-nucleotide ribosomal RNA is filed under the name Bacillicladium clematidis. RNAcentral's name for it is "partial 28S ribosomal RNA". It matches the Rfam family "Eukaryotic large subunit ribosomal RNA", at positions 61 to 942 of the family's 3401-position model. The record is from RNAcentral. Lineage: Eukaryota; Fungi; Ascomycota; Eurotiomycetes; Chaetothyriales; Trichomeriaceae.